UGUGUUUGCUAGGCCCCGGCAUAGUCUC
RNAcentral lists this non-coding RNA (28 nucleotides) under Mus musculus (house mouse). Lineage: Eukaryota; Metazoa; Chordata; Mammalia; Rodentia; Muridae. The record is from RNAcentral.